AAUUUACCAACUAUAUCCUUGAGUUUUCGCAUGCAAAUGAUUUUGGAAGCUAGUAUUGCUCGUGUCAUUCCCAAUACAUUAGGUGAGUUUUUUCAUCUAUGUGUAAGUUUUGCACAGCAGAAUAUUUCUACUCUGACAAUAAAUAGCAAACACUCGAUGAAAUACUUGAGAUAUUGCAAACUAAUUUGAACACCAUCAUUACAAAAUAUAUAUGUAAAUAUUUACUUAGGUAAAAGUAAUAUUACAAAAGAAAGAUCAAAGGAAUUAAAAGCAGUAUUCCUAUACUUUGUCGUGCAUCUAGAAUUAAUAAGAUAUAUAGGUAAAAGCUACGUAUUUAAUAUUCUUUAUUCUCUAUUCAUCAUGACUCAAAUAAAUUACAAAAUUGAUUCAUACAGCACUUUUUAUUUUUUCCCUUGUUCUAUUCUAUGUCCUCUAUUUUUCUCUUUUUGAACUCCUGGUCGUUAUAGUCCUACGAAUUCUUUUUUUUUUCUCCUUUUUCACCGCAUUGUCUUCAAUUCCAGAAGUUCCAAGCAGAGAUCUGACAUUUUCCAGCUCUUUCCUAACUUGGGAAUUAACUUACAAAUAUACCCAAAAGAUAUACAAGAAGGCUAGCUAGCCUAGGUCCCAAUUAAAGAACUUGUGCAACGCUUGUGCUGGUGAGAGAUAGCAUGUACGUCAUGGAAUUAGUAAAGAUACACGCAGAAAAAAUUAAAGUGCUUGUGAAGUUGUUUGCUGAAGCCAAUUGGAGAAAGUUUGGAGAGUGUUCAUGUCAGCUCUGUAUUGAUUCUGUGUAAAUUCUAGGAGGGCUGGCCAUGUGAAGUCUGGAUAUAUUCUUGGAUUGUUGGAGUCGACCAAUUCAGUUGGUGGGCUCACCACCUUAUCCUUCUUGGGACAAAGAAAGAAAGCAAGAGAUUUCCUAGGUAUUUUGUUGUUUACCACUGCUCUGUGCAAGCAACUUUUGUAUCUUCCAUUUGAUAGUGCCUG
RNAcentral lists this long non-coding RNA (984 nucleotides) under Nicotiana benthamiana. RNAcentral describes it as "long non-coding RNA (NBEN_LNC002982)". Lineage: Eukaryota; Viridiplantae; Streptophyta; Magnoliopsida; Solanales; Solanaceae. The record is from RNAcentral.